UGCAAGUCGAGCGGCAGCACGGGUACUUGUACCUGGUGGCGAGCGGCGGACGGGUGAGUAAUGCCUAGGAAUCUGCCUGGUAGUGGGGGAUAACGUUCGGAAACGAACGCUAAUACCGCAUACGUCCUACGGGAGAAAGCAGGGGACCUUCGGGCCUUGCGCUAUCAGAUGAGCCUAGGUCGGAUUAGCUAGUUGGUGAGGUAAUGGCUCACCAAGGCGACGAUCCGUAACUGGUCUGAGAGGAUGAUCAGUCACACUGGAACUGAGACACGGUCCAGACUCCUACGGGAGGCAGCAGUGGGGAAUAUUGGACAAUGGGCGAAAGCCUGAUCCAGCCAUGCCGCGUGUGUGAAGAAGGUCUUCGGAUUGUAAAGCACUUUAAGUUGGGAGGAAGGGCAGUUACCUAAUACGUAAUUGUUUUGACGUUACCGACAGAAUAAGCACCGGCUAACUCUGUGCCAGCAGCCGCGGUAAUACAGAGGGUGCAAGCGUUAAUCGGAAUUACUGGGCGUAAAGCGCGCGUAGGUGGUUCGUUAAGUUGGAUGUGAAAUCCCCGGGCUCAACCUGGGAACUGCAUUCAAAACUGUCGAGCUAGAGUAUGGUAGAGGGUGGUGGAAUUUCCUGUGUAGCGGUGAAAUGCGUAGAUAUAGGAAGGAACACCAGUGGCGAAGGCGACCACCUGGACUGAUACUGACACUGAGGUGCGAAAGCGUGGGGGAGCAAACAGGAUUAGAUACCCUGGUAGUCCACGCCGUAAACGAUGUCAACUAGCCGUUGGGGAGCCUUGAGCUCUUAGUGGCGCAGCUAACGCAUUAAGUUGACCGCCUGGGGAGUACGGCCGCAGGGUUAAAACUCUAAUGAAUUGACGGGGGCUCGCACAAGCGCGUGGAGCAUGUGGUUCAAUUCGAAGCAACGCGAAGAACCUUACCACGGCCUUGACAUCCAUGAACUUUCCCGAGAUGGAUUGUGCCUUCGGUACCAUUGAGACAGGUGCUGCAUGGCUGUCCUCAACUCGUCGCCUGAGAUGUAGGGUUAAGUCCCGUCACAAGCGCAACCCUAGUCUCUAGUUACGAGCACGAA
RNAcentral lists this ribosomal RNA (1080 nucleotides) under Pseudomonas sp. IV-111-22. RNAcentral describes it as "bacterial SSU rRNA". It matches the Rfam family "Bacterial small subunit ribosomal RNA", at positions 56 to 1127 of the family's 1533-position model. Lineage: Bacteria; Pseudomonadati; Pseudomonadota; Gammaproteobacteria; Pseudomonadales; Pseudomonadaceae. The record is from RNAcentral.